CCUUGUGUAGAACUCAGUCCCAGUCAGCAUACAGCAUGGACAUGAGGGCCCCUGCUCAGCUCCUGGGGCUUCUGCUGCUCUGGCUCCCAGGUGCCAAAUGUGACAUCCAGAUGACCCAGACUCCAUCCUCCCUGUCUGCAUCUCCAGGAGACACAGUCACCAUCAAUUGCAGGGCCAGUCAGGGCAUUAGCAGUUGGUUAGCCUGGUUUCAGCAGAAACCAGGGAAAGCUCCUAAGCGGCUGAUAUACAAAGCGUCUAAUUUAGGAUCAGGUGUCCCAUCCAGGUUCAGUGGCAGUGGAUCUGGGACAGAUUACUCUCUUACUAUCAGCAGCCUGCAGGCUGAAGAUUUUGCCACUUAUUACUGUAUGCAGUAUGAUAAGUUUCCUCCCACAGUGAUACAAGUCAUAACAUAAACC
Dipodomys ordii (Ord's kangaroo rat) is the source of this 416-nucleotide non-coding RNA. The record is from the annotation of a RefSeq genome assembly. Lineage: Eukaryota; Metazoa; Chordata; Mammalia; Rodentia; Heteromyidae.